AGCAGACAAGCAUUUGUCUGCUAUUAUAGGUGGCUUUGGCCAUGAACAUGGAUGGACCUGCGGUGCAUUAGCUGGUUGGUGAGGUAACGGCCCACCAAGGCGACGAUGCAUAGCCGGCCUGAGAGGGCGGACGGCCACAUUGGGACUGAGACACGGCCCAAACUCCUACGGGAGGCAGCAGUAGGGAAUUUUCGUCAAUGGGGGGAACCCUGAACGAGCAAUGCCGCGUGAGUGAGGAAGGUCUUCGGAUCGUAAAGCUCUGUUGUAAGAGAAAAACGGCACUCAUAGGGAAUGAUGAGUGAGUGAUGGUAUCUUACCAGAAAGUCACGGCUAACUACGUGCCAGCAGCCGCGGUAAUACGUAGGUGGCGAGCGUUAUCCGGAAUGAUUGGGCGUAAAGGGUGCGUAGGUGGCAGAUCAAGUCUGGAGUAAAAGGUUUGGGCUCAACCCGUACUGGCUCUGGAAACUGAUCAGCUAGAGAACAGAAGAGGACGGCGGAACUCCAUGUGUAGCGGUAAAAUGCGUAGAUAUAUGGAAGAACACCGGUGGCGAAGGCGGCCGUCUGGUCUGGAUUCUGACACUGAAGCACGAAAGCGUGGGGAGGCAAAUAGGAUUAGAUACCCUAGUAGUCCACGCCGUAACCGAGGAGAACUAGGUGUGGGGGGAAUAACUCAGUGCCGCAGUUAACGCAGUAAGUUCUCCGCCUGGGGAGUAUGCACGCAAGUGUGAAACUCAAAGGAAUUGACGGGGGCCCGCACAAGCGGUGGAGUAUGUGGUUUAAUUCGAAGCAACGCGAAGAACCUUACCAGGCCUUGACAUCUCUUGCAGAGGUAUAGAGAUAUAUCCGAGGUUAUCAAGGAGACAGGUGGUGCAUGGUUGUCGUCAGCUCGUGUCGUGAGAUGUUGGGUUAAGUCCCGCAACGAGCGCAACCCUUGUGAUAUGUUACUAACAUUGAGUUGAGGACUCAUAUCAGACUGCCGGUGAUAAACCGGAGGAAGGUGGGGAUGACGUCAAAUCAUCAUGCCCCUUAUGGCCUGGGCUACACACGUACUACAAUGGCGUCUACAAAGAGCGGCAAGCCUGUGAAGGCAAGCGAAUCUCAUAAAGGACGUCUCAGUUCGGAUUGAAGUCUGCAACCCGACUUCAUGAAGCUGGAAUCGCUAGUAAUCGCGAAUCAGCAUGUCGCGGUGAAUACGUUAUCGGGCCUUGCACACACCGCCCGUCAA
Molecule: ribosomal RNA, 1225 nt
Filed under: uncultured bacterium
Lineage: Bacteria
Description: bacterial SSU rRNA
Rfam family: Bacterial small subunit ribosomal RNA
Source: RNAcentral